AGGCCUAGUCUCGCGAGCAGACGUGGGAGGGGGGGAACCUCUAGGACAAGUCUGCUCGCGAGACUAGGCCUAGGGUGGGGCUCAUUUAUCCCAAAUCUAGCUUUGAGCUUUGUGGCAAAAGAGGUGCAGGUUGUCGGUUGUCAUGGACGAGAAGGAAAGAUAGAAAAUUUUGCCAUGUCUUGCCAACACUGCCACGUACAUCUGGUCAAAUGGGAACAAAGAAGAAAUUUGCCUGAGUCACCGAGACGUUCAUGUGACCAAAAUUUUACCAUACAUGGCCUAUAUUCAAUAGUUUUGAACCGAGUUCAAGACAAUCGUCAGUAUUGAAAAAGAUGUGAGUGUCCAAUCAAUCAUUAAUGGAGAACUGGGACUCAUGGAUUAUUGCAUAUUCAGGUUAGAGAUGGCGACAAGGGAAAAAAUUGAUAGCGAGGGUUCUUCAGAUGAUAUCAAGAAUUCAGACGAUCUUUGUGAAUGAAAAACGAAUGGGAGCACCUACCUUGUUGUUUGCCAUACCAGUGCAGACUGUAUUUUCUAUGUGAUGUUGAACAAGAGCCAACGUGCGAGCUAAGUGUAUUCUUUGGACUCAACGAACAAAAUUGAACCCUUUGGCACAUGUAUAAUUAUAAUCUCAUUUUAGUGCUGCUAUGAUGUUUUGUGGAUGUGUUUUAACUUGAUACAGCUGUGAUCAUGUGAAUGCAGGUU
Molecule: long non-coding RNA, 702 nt
Organism: Halichondria panicea
Lineage: Eukaryota; Metazoa; Porifera; Demospongiae; Suberitida; Halichondriidae
Exons: 4
Source: RefSeq, a predicted model, not a curated record